GCCGCCGCCCCGGCCGGAGCCCGCCGCCACGGACCGCCUCAGCCCUCCGGGCCACGGGCCUCUCCGGGCGGGAGCCCAGGGUGGCGGCGCCUGCGGCCGAGCGCCGGGAGCAGGUAGUGUUGGUGCUUCUUUUCAGUGCCAGUCCAUCCAUCACGACCACAUUUGUCAUGAUGACAGUGACAAGAGUGAAGAUAGUCCAAGUCCUAAGAGACAGCGCCUCUCUCAUUCAGUCUUUGAUUAUACAUCAGCAUCACCAGCUCCCUCACCACCAAUGCGACCAUGGGAGAUGACAUCAAAUAGGCAGCCCCCUUCAGUUCGACCAAGCCAACAUCACUUCUCAGGGGAACGAUGCAACACACCUGCACGCAACAGAAGAAGUCCUCCUGUCAGGCGCCAGAGAGGAAGAAGGGAUCGUCUGUCUCGACAUAAUUCCAUUAGUCAAGAUGAAAACUAUCACCAUCUCCCUUACGCACAGCAGCAAGCAAUAGAGGAGCCUCGAGCCUUCCACCCUCCGAAUGUAUCUCCCCGUCUGCUACAUCCUGCUGCUCAUCCACCCCAGCAGAAUGCAGUCAUGGUUGACAUACAUGA
Molecule: long non-coding RNA, 588 nt
Filed under: Homo sapiens (human)
Lineage: Eukaryota; Metazoa; Chordata; Mammalia; Primates; Hominidae
Description: HSALNT0148611
Source: RNAcentral